UGGGCUAUCGCCAAGUGGUAAGGCACAGGAUUCUGACUCCUGCAUCCGCUGGGUCGAAUCAAGCUAGCCCAG
RNAcentral lists this transfer RNA (72 nucleotides) under Hungatella hathewayi. RNAcentral describes it as "tRNA-Gln". It matches the Rfam family "tRNA". Rfam says of the family: Transfer RNA (tRNA) molecules are approximately 80 nucleotides in length. The record is from RNAcentral. Lineage: Bacteria; Bacillati; Bacillota; Clostridia; Lachnospirales; Lachnospiraceae.